RNAcentral lists this ribosomal RNA (1382 nucleotides) under uncultured bacterium. Its description in RNAcentral is "partial 16S ribosomal RNA". It matches the Rfam family "Bacterial small subunit ribosomal RNA". The record is from RNAcentral.
GAGUUUGAUCCUGGCUCAGAUUGAACGCUGGCGGAAUGCUUUACACAUGCAAGUCGAGCGGCAGCGCGGGGCAACCUGGCGGCGAGCGGCGAACGGGUGAGUAAUGCAUCGGAACAUGUCCAUGUCGUGGGGGAUAGCCCGGCGAAAGCCGGAUUAAUACCGCAUGUGCCCGAGAGGGGAAAGUGGGGGACCGCAAGGCCUCACGCGACUGGGUUGGCCGAUGUCCGAUUAGCUAGUUGGCGGGGUAAGAGCCCACCAAGGCGAUGAUCGGUAGCUGGUCUGAGAGGAUGAUCAGCCACACUGGGACUGAGACACGGCCCAGACUCCUACGGGAGGCAGCAGUGGGGAAUUUUGGACAAUGGGGGCAACCCUGAUCCAGCCAUUCCGCGUGAGUGAAGAAGGCCUUCGGGUUGUAAAGCUCUUUUGUCCGGAACGAAACGGUUGGCGUGAAUAUCGCCGACUACUGACGGUACCGGAAGAAUAAGCACCGGCUAACUACGUGCCAGCAGCCGCGGUAAUACGUAGGGUGCGAGCGUUAAUCGGAAUUACUGGGCGUAAAGGGAGCGCAGGCGGGUUGGUAAGUCGGUGGUGAAAUUCUCAGGCUUAACCUGGGGACUGCCACCGAUACUGCUAAUCUUGAGUGCAGAAGAGGUUGAUGGAAUUCUUGGUGUAGCGGUGAAAUGCGUAGAUAUCAAGAAGAACACCGAUGGCGAAGGCAGUCAACUGGUCUGUUACUGACGCUCAUGCUCGAAAGCGUGGGGAUCAAACAGGAUUAGAUACCCUGGUAGUCCACGCCCUAAACGAUGGAUACUCGAUGUCAGACCGCAAGGUUUGGUGUCCAAGCCAACGCAUUAAGUAUCCCACCUGGGAAGUACGAUCGCAAGGUUGAAACUCAAAGGAGUUGACGGGGGCCCGCACAAGCAGUGGAGCAUGUGGUUUAAUUCGAUGCAACGCGAAGAACCUUACCUGGGUUUGAAAGGCAAGUGACAGGCGAUGAAAGUCGCCCUCGUAGCAAUACGCACUUGUACAGGUGCUGCAUGGCUGUCGUCAGCUCGUGCCGUGAGGUGUUAGGUUAAGUCCUGCAGCGAGCGCAACCCCUGCACUUAGUUGCCAUCAGGUCAAGCUGGGCACUCUAAGUGGACUGCCUACGCAAGUAGUGAGGAAGGUGGGGAUGACGUCAAGUCCUCAUGGCCCUUACGGGCUGGGCUACACACGUGCUACAAUGGCGGUGACAAUGGGAUGCUAAGGGGCGACCCUUCGCAAAUCUCAAAAAGCCGUCUCAGUUCGGAUUGUGCUCUGCAACUCGAGCACAUGAAGUUGGAAUCGCUAGUAAUCGCAGAUCAGCACGCUGCGGUGAAUACGUUCCCGGGCCUUGCACACAC